RNAcentral lists this long non-coding RNA (1965 nucleotides) under Homo sapiens (human). RNAcentral's name for it is "HSALNT0242309". The record is from RNAcentral. Lineage: Eukaryota; Metazoa; Chordata; Mammalia; Primates; Hominidae.
CCAAAGAGCUGUUGUGAGCAUCUUUGGUUUAUAGUGUGAAGAGCUAUCAGAUCCUUGUUGUAAGUGGGUUUGCUAGGUGGCACCUUACAGAAAAGCAGACAGAGCUGUCACGCAGAGGCCCUUGGUAGGGAAAGGGUUUGGGAACUGGACUGUGAUAUAGCUGUUGACCUGGGCAGAUCUGGGGCGCGGGAGUUGGAGACCCCACAUGCGGAUUGCGGACUCUGUUGCCCUCUUGUGGGGGAAAGGUAGAACUUCAGGGGUGUGUGUGUGUGUGUGUGUGUGUGUGUGUGUAUCCUCAGACUAAGCCUGUGGGCAAUACUGAGAGCAUCAGGGAAAGAAAUGGUGACUGGAGCAAUCAGAGAGACGGAGAUAGGAAGCAGCAUGGGAGGGAAGGGGGACUGGGAUGGGGGCCAUGCCCCACCCCACCCCCGGACCCAGGGUCCCUCCUCACCAGGGUCACAUUGCACCAGUCAACGCGGAAGUGGGGUGCCAAGGUGUCGUAGCAAGACAGAAGUGGAGGCUGGCCCUGGGCACAGCGGGCGUGGCUAUCGGGGGAUGCCACCAUCUUCAGGCAAGUAGAAAAAGGAAGUCCUCUAGGGUUGCACACCUACCCUUCUUUUCGGCCCUCAAUGGGAAGGGGGACACGGCCCCCACGGUCCAAGGCAGAGGUGACGUUGAGCAGCUGAAGCUCUCCGGGCUCCCAGAGUCCCCCCAAGGCUGAGAGGAAGCGGCUGGCAGGUGUUGAGGGCAGCACCUCCUCCGCAUCGUGGCUGCGCACCAGGAACUCGGCUUGGUAUGGCAGCAGGGGGCCUGGGAAGGCCAGGUGGACACCUCAGGCUGCACCCAGCCCCAGCUCUGCCCCGCAAAGCCUCCUUGAAGCUCCUCCCCACAUCCCUGCACACCCCUUCAGGCCCCUCAAUGCCCCAUCCAUCACAGACCCCAACAAGCCAAGUCCCAAUAGUCUCUGCAACGCAGCGAGUAACAGAACUCCAGAGCCUGGAAUCCCAGCCCAGCACCCAUUCCCUGAGAGCCUUGUCCCCACUUUCCAGGAUGCCCUGCUCCACUCCUCUCCAAGCCUCUCCUGUCCACAGCCCCCUCCCCCUCCGGGAGAGAUUCCCCAAGACUGGCAUUGGUGGGGAAGGGAUGGGGCACAGCUAGAGGUACCUUCUGGGUCCCCAAUCUCCAGCACCAGCCUCUGCCGAGUGGUAUCAAAGCUGUCCCGAUUGUAGGCUGUGACCUGGGGGAUGGGAAAGACAUCUGAGAAGUGGGUUAGGGGAGAAACGUGGCACAGCGGGGGCCUGGCAGGAGAGGACUCAGAUACCAAAUUAGAGGUAUGUAAAUUAUAUGUAAAUGACUGUGAAUGAGCACCCAAUCCCAAUUCAUAGGGCUGCUCCUAGGAGGCCACUCUGGCCCACCCCUGUGAUUUUCUCAGGGUCCCUGACGGCACCUCAAUGACCUGGAGCCCACGAUCUUCUGGGGUGGCAGAGCCGUAGAGGAAGCCAGGGUGGUGGGGGCUGCGCUGGGUGUAGCGGAGCCACCGGGGCAGGUCUGGGUGUCCCUGGAGGUGGGCGUGGUAGGUGAUGUGGACAGCGGGUGGGACAGCUGGUGGAAGCGAGGAGAGGGGAUUCGAGUCACAGCAGGAGCCCUGCGGGGUACACCCCAGCCCGCCCGCCUGGGUGCCUGUCAGGCCGCUCACCGACAUGCUCAGGAAGGCUCAGAAACGUCUCAUGGUCCAAGGUGUGCACAAAGACACGGCCCACAAGUGGGUGUAGCGUGGUCUGCUGGGCCUCGGUGUCCCCCAGCCCUGCCAGGAGAACUGUGGGGACCCCACAAGUCCCAAACACACAGGCCAGCCUCAGUCCUGGGCAGGGGAUAAGCUCCCUUCCCCACCAAGUCCUUGGAGCCCCUAAGGGACCGAGAGAAGCGCUUCCUUUGCUGCCUCCCAGGAAGGGAUUGGGGUGGGGA